RNAcentral lists this ribosomal RNA (495 nucleotides) under Fusarium redolens. Its description in RNAcentral is "eukaryotic LSU rRNA". The stretch from base 124 to 277 matches the Rfam family "5.8S ribosomal RNA". Lineage: Eukaryota; Fungi; Ascomycota; Sordariomycetes; Hypocreales; Nectriaceae. The record is from RNAcentral.
GUGACAUACCUUACUGUUGCCUCGGCGGAUCAGCCCGCUCCCGGUAAAACGGGACGGCCCGCCAGAGGACCCCUAAACUCUGUUUCUAUAUGUAACUUCUGAGUAAAACCAUAAAUAAAUCAAAACUUUCAACAACGGAUCUCUUGGUUCUGGCAUCGAUGAAGAACGCAGCAAAAUGCGAUAAGUAAUGUGAAUUGCAGAAUUCAGUGAAUCAUCGAAUCUUUGAACGCACAUUGCGCCCGCCAGUAUUCUGGCGGGCAUGCCUGUUCGAGCGUCAUUUCAACCCUCAAGCCCUCGGGUUUGGUGUUGGGGAUCGGCGAGCCUUUCUGGCAAGCCGGCCCCGAAAUCUAGUGGCGGUCUCGCUGCAGCCUCCAUUGCGUAGUAGUAAAACCCUCGCAACUGGAACGCGGCGCGGCCAAGCCGUUAAACCCCCAACUUCUGAAUGUUGACCUCGGAUCAGGUAGGAAUACCCGCUGAACUUAAGCAUAUCAAUAA